RNAcentral lists this long non-coding RNA (1537 nucleotides) under Bos indicus x Bos taurus (hybrid cattle). Its description in RNAcentral is "lncRNA (ENSBIXG00005024973.1)". Lineage: Eukaryota; Metazoa; Chordata; Mammalia; Artiodactyla; Bovidae. The record is from RNAcentral.
AUGGCUAUUAUUGGAGAUGCUAAAGCUAUGGUUGCCUACACACCCCCACCUCCAGGGGUGGCUGCCGUUCACCCAGUGCCUCCUGCAUGUCAGAUCUGCUGGUCAGAAGCCUCUGGUGGGGCAGGACUCCGUUCUUUCCUGGAGUCUCGGGGGAGAAUCUCUUCCUUGCCCCUUCAGUUCCACCUGGCCAUAGGACUGAGAUCUACAUCUGUGUGCUGGCUGUCAGCUGGGGACCACUGUUACCUGCAGGAAACCUGUUUGGUCCUCGCACAUGUCCUCCUAAUUUUCAUGACCCCUGGAUCCUUAUCAUGCUGCCGUCUUUCUGGUUCUCAACAGCCAAGGCAAGUUCUUGGAUUGUAAUGACUCAUGGAAUUAGAUUUGUCCCACCUGGAAAAUCCAGAACAGUCUCCCCAUCGGAAAGGACUUAACCUUUAUCAUACCUGCAAAGUUCCUCUUGACAGGCAAAGUAGCAUAUUCACAGGCGUGGACAUCUUUGUUGUGGACGUUCAGUCACUCAUUCGUGUCCCACUCUUUGUGAUCGCAUGACUGCAGCACUCCAGGCUCCCCUGUCCUCCGCUGUUUCCCAGAGUUUUCUUAAAUUCAUGUCCACUGAGUCAGUGACGCUCCCUAACCAUCUCAUUCUCUGCCGCCAUGGAUUUCUUUGGGGGAGGGGGUCAUUAUUUUGCUUACCCCUGAAUACUAGCACCAGAGACUUUCUUCUUGAUAGAAUCAGAGAGGGAGGAAGGGAAGGAAGAAGGAACAGAGGGAGGCAGGGAGGGAGGGAAAGAGGGAGCUGUCUGCUGAGUCUAUAUAAUUUAUAAUCCUGUCUAUGGGCCACUUAAAAUAAUUCUGUGAAUGAAGCCUUGCUCGAUAAGUCUUGCCCUGCCAUGAUCACAGCUGAUAAGCUUUGGAAGUGCUCACAUAGCCAGUCUUGCCCUGGCCGUGUGAGUUUCCAUCUGAAAUAGGAAAGAAGCAAUGGAGUGUCUCAGAGAGAAUCCUCAAGAACUUUUCACUCAAGGCUCACAUUUUCUUUGCAGACUACCUAGAGAUAUCCCCGGCCCCCCACAAUGCUCUCCUGGCUCAGAGUUGAUUCCUUCUGGGUUCAAUUUCUAUUUGGUUGCAAAGGAGUCCCUUCCAGCACCCAGAAUGGCUGCAAUGUGUCAUUGCCCUGCACUACAUGGAGGCCUUAACAGCAGACCUGGGAAAGACUGAGCCAUGCUGCUGGGAGGCACUGGGUGGCUGGCUUCUUUCUCUAACAGGCCUGGUCUCUCGCCCUUUGCUAAUUACUUUGAUCCUUUGCACUUUGUAAAAAAGCCCCACAACACCAAUUGGUCCCCUCUGGCUUUAACCUUGCAACCCAGUUGGCCCUUGUAAAAGUGGGGGGUGGGGGCCGGAGGGAGGCCAGGCAGGGGCAGGCACAGGCUCCCCAGAUCUGCGCAGACUGCCUUGGGUCUGUUCCUUUAAUGAUCGCUUCCCAGGGCUCUCACAAAAAAAAAAAAAGAAAAAAGACAAAUAAAAGGCUUUUUACAAGAUGGCA